GACGAACGCUGGCAGCGUGCCUAAUACAUGCAAGUUGAGCGAUGAAGAUUGGUGCUUGCACCAAUUUGAAGAGCAGCGAACGGGUGAGUAACGCGUGGGGAAUCUGCCUUUGAGCGGGGGACAACAUUUGGAAACGAAUGCUAAUACCGCAUAACAACUUUAAACAUAAGUUUUAAGUUUGAAAGAUGCAAUUGCAUCACUCAAAGAUGAUCCCGCGUUGUAUUAGCUAGUUGGUGAGGUAAAGGCUCACCAAGGCGAUGAUACAUAGCCGACCUGAGAGGGUGAUCGGCCACAUUGGGACUGAGACACGGCCCAAACUCCUACGGGAGGCAGCAGUAGGGAAUCUUCGGCAAUGGACGAAAGUCUGACCGAGCAACGCCGCGUGAGUGAAGAAGGUUUUCGGAUCGUAAAACUCUGUUGGUAGAGAAGAACGUUGGUGAGAGUGGAAAGCUCAUCAAGUGACGGUAACUACCCAGAAAGGGACGGCUAACUACGUG
RNAcentral lists this ribosomal RNA (497 nucleotides) under uncultured bacterium. RNAcentral's name for it is "partial 16S ribosomal RNA". It matches the Rfam family "Bacterial small subunit ribosomal RNA", at positions 28 to 507 of the family's 1533-position model. The record is from RNAcentral.